GAUGAACGCUAGCGGGAGGCCUAACACAUGCAAGCCGAGCGGUAUUUAUUCUUCGGAAUAGAGAGAGCGGCGUACGGGUGCGGAACACGUGUGCAACCUGCCUUUAUCAGGGGGAUAGCCUUUCGAAAGGAAGAUUAAUACCCCAUAAUAUAUUGAUUGGCAUCAAUUGAUAUUGAAAACUCCGGUGGAUAAAGAUGGGCACGCGCAAGAUUAGAUAGUUGGUGAGGUAACGGCUCACCAAGUCGAUGAUCCUUAGGGGGCCUGAGAGGGUGAUCCCCCACACUGGUACUGAGACACGGACCAGAAUCCUACGGGAGGCAGCAGUGAGGAAUAUUGGACAAUGGGUGAGAGCCUGAUCCAGCCAUCCCGCGUGAAGGACGACGGUUCUAUGGAUUGUAAACUUCUUUUAUAUAGGGAUAAACCUACUUACGUGUAAGUAGCUGAAGGUACUAUAUGAAUAAGCACCGGCUAACUCCGUGCCAGCAGCCGCGGUAA
Molecule: ribosomal RNA, 495 nt
Filed under: uncultured bacterium
Lineage: Bacteria
Description: partial 16S ribosomal RNA
Rfam family: Bacterial small subunit ribosomal RNA
Source: RNAcentral